Amaranthus tricolor (Joseph's coat) is the source of this 2657-nucleotide RNA transcript. It is a transcript of the gene named phosphatase IMPL1, chloroplastic, with no coding region annotated. The record is from RefSeq and is a predicted model, not a curated record. Lineage: Eukaryota; Viridiplantae; Streptophyta; Magnoliopsida; Caryophyllales; Amaranthaceae. The transcript is spliced from 9 exons.
AUAUAUCGAUAUCGGUUAUCAGUAUCAGUAACUGUAAGUGGUCUCAGAAAUUUCAGAAAUUAUAGUGUCACAGAUUAUCUUCAAAAAUGGGGAGGUGCUUGAUCUCAUCUUCUCUAACCCUCCUAAAAUCUCAUCAACUACCCACUUCAGCUCGAACAUCUGAUUACCCAACACUUCAUUCAAUUGGGUUCUUCUCUACUCUCAAAAAUUCAAAAUCCCUAAAAGCUGGGAAUGAGAUUUUUGGAAGGGCAGUAAGGUUGAACCCAAUUUCUUUAUCUUCAUCUUCAUUGUCAAGAGUAUGUUUCUGCACUAGGGCUGUUUCUUCUGAGACCCGAUAUUCCAAAGCGGGUGCUCAAUCAACUGGUUCAAUUCCCACCAAUCAACUUAUUGGGGUUGUUGAAAAAGCUGCUAAAACUGGUGCCCAGGUAGUAAUGGAUGCUGUUAACAAGCCUAGGAAAAUUUCUUACAAAGGACUCACUGACCUGGUGACUGAAACAGACAAAAUGAGUGAGAAUGCUAUUUUAGAAGUUGUGAGGGCAAACUUCAAUGACCACCUUAUUCUUGGUGAAGAGGGAGGAAUAAUAGGAGAUGCUUCUUCAGAUUACCUUUGGUGCAUUGAUCCACUUGACGGAACCACAAACUUUGCUCACGGUUAUCCUAGUUUUGCUGUUUCUGUGGGUGUUCUGUUCCGAGGGAAGCCAAUAGCUGCUGCUGUGGUUGAAUUUGUUGGCGGAGCUAUGUGUUGGAACACCCGCACAUUUACAGCAGUUGCUGGUGGGGGAGCAUUUUGUAAUGGACAACAGAUUCAAGUUAGUGCAACUGAUCUGGUGGAGCGAUCACUUCUUGUUACAGGCUUCGGCUAUGAACAUGAUGAUGCGUGGUUAACAAAUCUUGAUUUGUUCAAGGAAUUCACAGACAUUAGUCGGGGUGUGAGGAGGCUUGGUGCUGCAGCAGUUGAUAUGUGCCAUGUGGCUAUAGGUGCUGCUGACGCAUAUUGGGAAUAUCGUUUGAAACCAUGGGACAUGGCUGCUGGUGUUUUGGUAAUACAGUUUUCCGUCUCUAUGUUUUUGGUUUUGCUAGAUACAGUCUAGCAGAACAAUUUAGGCUUAACUUUUGCAAUGUCUUGCUUGAUUCUUUAAUGAGAUUACAAGAUUUUUGGUUGGAUUAGUUACAGGAAUAGGUACACAUAGAAAUGUAAUGUCAAGUGUCAAAUGUGUUACAUGUCAAUACAGCCAUAUGGGGAGGAUGAAGCAGAAAACUCGUGAUCCUGAUGGGUUUAUUUCAAUGUCAAUUCAAACUCAAAACAGCAGUCUAAGGGGCUUUCUUUACAGAUCCAAAUAUACCCUAGCUAGGCCUAGAGGCUGGACCGCUGGAGUUAAAAACUCAUCCUGUCACAUGUGCUGUUGCAGACAGGUUUCACCAACUUCGGCAGUAAAUUCAUUUUUGAAUAGCAUUUCCUACUUUCUUUUAUUUGUUGCUGAUAAUUGGAUUUCUAAAAGCUGACUUCAAGGGGUCUACAUUUCUAGAAAGUUUGUUUUCAAGCCUCCUACAGCGACACACUGGUUUAAUACUCAUUAGUCAGUACAACUUUUAGUCGAUCUCGUUUUUUUGUGGGAUACAAUUGGAGGUGUUUAUUCGGGUUAUCAGGUCGAUUAUGGGUCAAGUGUUUCGGGUCGGUUUAAAAUGGGUUAUUGUGCCCACAUUGAUUUUUAUAUAAAUUUAAAUUCAUUUUGAAGUCGGGUAAGUCAGGUUCGGUUACAAGGUUGGGUGGAUAUUGGAUCAUUGGGUCUGUUUUGAACACCUCAGAUACAAUAUACAUAUUACACGAUCCCUUGAUAAUGGGAUUUUGGAUUUCCAAAAAUUAACUCUAAGGGAUAUACUCUUCUAAAAGGUUUGUUCUCAAGCCUCAAGUCUAUUGACUACACACUAGUGUAAUACCCAUUAUUCAGUACAACUUUUGGCUUAACACCUCUAGUUGGAUACACUAUCCAUGAUGAUAAAAAAUUUCACUAUUUUGGAGCCUUUGUUUACGGGUUGGGGCUAGCUGUAUGGAUACAACCACCCCACCAAAAAAGUUUUUUUUUUUUUUUUUUCCUGUGAUUUUGCCAAUUUGUCUUGUUGCUAGUCUAAUGGCUGUGAAGUACUGUAUGGCUAUAUUUCUAUCUCACAUGAUGAUGGCAUUUUUGUCUUCAUAUUUGGUCUCCUCGAGGGUUGUAUUCAUUCCUAUGCUUUUUAGCUGUAUCCUUGGCUUGAGAUUAGCUAAUAAGAGCGGGAUUUGGGGUGGAUCUUAGCUGGAUCAGAUAGAGAAUUGUCUAGAGAACUAGUGGUAAGAUAUUUUAAGGGAGUAGUAAAAUUAUAGUUCCGAUUUAAGAAAAUGAUAUUUGUCUGUUUAAAUGUAAUUACAAGGGUAAGUUCACAUUCGACCAUUUCCUAAUCCCGCCUUAGCGAGAGCCACUUAGUGGCCUUGGGAAAACUUAUACAUAAGCAUUUUGUGUAUGUUUAUAUGAUCUUUGAUCAGAUUCGAGUGGCUACUGGCUGCUUUAUAUUUUAUUGGUACAAGGAAUUAUUGGAUACUGGCUGCUUCUGAAAUUUGAACUCUAUUUGAUUUCAUCUAAUCAUAGUUUUUUCCGCACAGAUUGUUGAAGAAGCUGGUGGAG